GCCUGGGUGGCUCAGUCGGUUAAGCGUCUGACUUCAACUCACAGUUUGUGGGUUCGAGCCCCACGUCGGGCU
RNAcentral lists this transfer RNA (72 nucleotides) under Felis catus (domestic cat). It matches the Rfam family "tRNA". Rfam says of the family: Transfer RNA (tRNA) molecules are approximately 80 nucleotides in length. Their secondary structure includes four short double-helical elements and three loops (D, anti-codon, and T loops). RNAcentral also lists the same sequence under 2 other names. Lineage: Eukaryota; Metazoa; Chordata; Mammalia; Carnivora; Felidae. The record is from Rfam by way of RNAcentral.